RNAcentral lists this small nuclear RNA (103 nucleotides) under Phascolarctos cinereus (koala). The record is from RNAcentral. Lineage: Eukaryota; Metazoa; Chordata; Mammalia; Diprotodontia; Phascolarctidae.
AUGCUCCAUUAGCACGUACUUUAAAAUUAGAACCAUACAGAGAAGAUUAUCAUGGCUCCUACACAAAGAUGACAUGAAAGUUCCUGAACUAGGUUACCUUUUU